UAAUAGCGCACGCAGGCGGUCUGAUUAAGUCAUGAUGUGAAAUCCCCCGGGCUCAACCCUGGGAACUGCAUUUGAAACUCGCAGGCUUGAGUCUCGUAGAGGGGGGGUAGAAUUCCAGGUGUAGCGGUGAAAUGCGUAGAGAUCUGGAGGAAUACCGGUGGCGAAGGCGGCCCCCUGGACGAAGACUGACGCUCAGGUGCGAAAGCGUGGGGAGCAAACAGGAUUAUAUACCCUGGUAGUCCACGCCGUAAACGAUGUCGACUUGGAGGUUGUGCCCUUGAGGCGUGGCUUCCGGAGCUCACGCGUUAAGUCGACCGCCUGGGGAGUACGGCCGCAAGGUUAAAACUCAAAUGAAUUGACGGGGGCCCGCACAAGCGGUGGAGCAUGUGGUUUAAUUCGAUGCAACGCGAAGAACCUUACCUGGUCUUGACAUCCAGAGAAUCCUGCAGAGAUGCGGGAGUGCCUUCGGGAACUCUAAGACAGGUGCUGCAUGGCUGUCGUCAGCUCGUGUUGUGAAAUGUUGGGUUAAGUCCCGCAACGAGCGCAACCCUUAUCCUUUGUUGCCAGCGGUUCGGCCGGGAACUCAAAGGAGACUGCCGGUGAUAAACCGGAGGAAGGUGGGGAUGACGUCAAGUCAUCAUGGCCCUUACGACCAGGGCUACACACGUGCUACAAUGGCGCAUACAAAGAGAAGCGACCUCGCGAGAGCAAGCGGACCUCAUAAAGUGCGUCGUAGUCCGGAUUGGAGUCUGCAACUCGACUCCAUGAAGUCGGAAUCGCUAGUAAUCGUGGAUCAGAAUGCCACGGUGAAUACGUUCCCGGGCCUUGUACA
Molecule: ribosomal RNA, 832 nt
Filed under: Cronobacter sakazakii
Lineage: Bacteria; Pseudomonadati; Pseudomonadota; Gammaproteobacteria; Enterobacterales; Enterobacteriaceae
Description: bacterial SSU rRNA
Rfam family: Bacterial small subunit ribosomal RNA
Source: RNAcentral